AAGAUUAAACUGAAGAGUUUGAUCCUGGCUCAGAUUGAACGCUGGCGGUAUGCUUAACACAUGCAAGUCGAACGGAAACGAUGGAAGCUUGCUUCCAGGCGUCGA
This 105-nucleotide ribosomal RNA is filed under the name Gammaproteobacteria bacterium. Its description in RNAcentral is "partial 16S ribosomal RNA". It matches the Rfam family "Bacterial small subunit ribosomal RNA", at positions 1 to 96 of the family's 1533-position model. The record is from RNAcentral. Lineage: Bacteria; Pseudomonadati; Pseudomonadota; Gammaproteobacteria.